Molecule: ribosomal RNA, 549 nt
Filed under: Brevundimonas sp. sed232
Lineage: Bacteria; Pseudomonadati; Pseudomonadota; Alphaproteobacteria; Caulobacterales; Caulobacteraceae
Description: bacterial SSU rRNA
Rfam family: Bacterial small subunit ribosomal RNA
Source: RNAcentral
GUGGCGGACGGGUGAGUAACACGUGGGAACGUGCCUUUAGGUUCGGAAUAGCUCCUGGAAACGGGUGGUAAUGCCGAAUGUGCCCUUCGGGGGAAAGAUUUAUCGCCUUUAGAGCGGCCCGCGUCUGAUUAGCUUGUUGGUGGGGUAAUGGCCCACCAAGGCUACGAUCAGUAGCUGGUCUGAGAGGAUGACCAGCCACAUUGGGACUGAGACACGGCCCAAACUCCUACGGGAGGCAGCAGUGGGGAAUCUUGCGCAAUGGGCGAAAGCCUGACGCAGCCAUGCCGCGUGUAUGAUGAAGGUCUUAGGAUUGUAAAAUACUUUCACCGGUGAAGAUAAUGACUGUAGCCGGAGAAGAAGCCCCGGCUAACUUCGUGCCAGCAGCCGCGGUAAUACGAAGGGGGCUAGCGUUGCUCGGAAUUACUGGGCGUAAAGGGAGCGUAGGCGGACAUUUAAGUCAGAGGUGAAAUCCCGGAGCUCAACUCCGGAACUGCCUUUGAUACUGGGUGUCUUGAGUGUGAGAGAGGUAUGUGGAACUCCGAGUGUAGA